RNAcentral lists this ribosomal RNA (389 nucleotides) under uncultured bacterium. RNAcentral describes it as "partial 16S ribosomal RNA". It matches the Rfam family "Bacterial small subunit ribosomal RNA", at positions 523 to 918 of the family's 1533-position model. The record is from RNAcentral.
AUACGUAGGGGACAAGCGUUGUCCGGAAUCACUGGGCGUAAAGGGCGCGUAGGCGGUUUUAUAAGUCAGAUGUGAAAGGUACCGGCUCAACCGGUGACGUGCAUUUGAAACUGUAAGACUUGAGUACUGGAGAGGCCAGUGGAAUUCCUAGUGUAGCGGUGAAAUGCGUAGAUAUUAGGAGGAACACCGGUGGCGAAGGCGGCUUGCUGGACAGAUACUGACGCUGAGGUGCGAAAGCGUGGGGAGCGAACAGGAUUAGAUACCCUGGUAGUCCACGCCGUAAACGAUGAUGACUAGGUGUUGGGGAAACUCAGUGCCGCAGUUAACACAUUAAGUCAUCCGCCUGGGGAGUACGACCGCAAGGUUGAAACUCAAAGGAAUGGGCGGGG